This 808-nucleotide ribosomal RNA is filed under the name Phloeotribus puberulus. Its description in RNAcentral is "partial 28S ribosomal RNA". It matches the Rfam family "Eukaryotic large subunit ribosomal RNA", at positions 386 to 955 of the family's 3401-position model. Lineage: Eukaryota; Metazoa; Arthropoda; Insecta; Coleoptera; Curculionidae. The record is from RNAcentral.
CGAUUAGGGGUAAACUGAAAAACCGAAAGGUCNAAGGGAGAAAUNCAUUCGCGUUUGACGUUAACAUUGAUGGUNNGNUUGUGUGACGAUGAAUGUGCAUCUAUCGUUCCGCACCGCCAUUCAANGAAUCGACAACAAACGUGUGCACUUUNCUCCUGGUAGGACGUCNCAAUCCGUUGGACGUUGGUCUACGGCACACAGUGGAGCCCGUUUAUCGCACCUAGUGUUUGUAUAACGGACCUGUGUGUUUCCUNNCCGACUUNUUNGACGGUNNAAAUAUGGUUGGAGANCNCNCUUNAUUAUGAGCGUGUGACUAAUGACAAGCGCGUCAGAAGUNUGUUGGCNNNCGGACACUGCCGACUCNGNCCUACGAUGACUGAUGGUUAUAAUGUUNUUUGACAGAUCUUGGAACAUCUGAUGUUCUUAACCGUUUAGCGGCGCUAUAGCUUUGGUUAAUUUCAGGACCCGUCUUGAAACACGGACCAAGGAGUCUAGCAUGUACGCGAGUCAUUGGGAUUUUUAUGAAACCUAAAGGCGUAAUGAAAGUAAAGAUUUUCCUUGCGAAGAUCGAGGGAAGAUGAGUAUUUAUUUAUUUAAAUGCUUCGCACUCCCGGGGCGUCUCAUUCUCAUUAUGAGUCGAGGCGCACCAAGAGCGUACACGCUGGGACCCGAAAGAUGGUGAACUAUGCCUGGUCAGGACGAAGUCAGGGGAAACCCUGAUGGAGGUCCGUAGCGAUUCUGACGUGCAAAUCGAUCGUCGGAACUGGGUAUAGGGGCGAAAGACUAAUCGAACNAUCUAGUAGCUGGU